AGAAUUGAUCUGGUCAGGAUGAACGCUGGCGGCGUGCUUAACACAUGCAAGUCGAACGAAGCAACUUAUUACGAUCCCUUCGGGGUGACGAUUGUGACUGAGUGGCGGACGGGUGAGUAACGCGUGGGUAACCUACCUGUACAGGGGGACAACAGUUGGAAACGACUGCUAAUACCGCAUAAGCGCACAGCUUCGCAUGAAGCAGUGUGAAAAGUUUUUCGGUACAAGAUGGACCCGCGUCUGAUUAGCUAGUUGGUGAGGUAACGGCCCACCAAGGCGACGAUCAGUAGCCGACCUGAGAGGGUGACCGGCCACAUUGGGACUGAGACACGGCCCAAACUCCUACGGGAGGCAGCAGUGGGGAAUAUUGCACAAUGGGCGAAAGCCUGAUGCAGCGACGCCCGCGUGAGCGAAGAAGUAUUUCGGUAUGUAAAGCUCUAUCAGCAGGGAAGAUAAUGACGGUACCUGACUAAGAAGCACCGGCUAAAUACGUGCCAGCAGCUGC
This 505-nucleotide ribosomal RNA is filed under the name uncultured bacterium. RNAcentral describes it as "bacterial SSU rRNA". It matches the Rfam family "Bacterial small subunit ribosomal RNA", at positions 1 to 518 of the family's 1533-position model. The record is from RNAcentral.